GCUUCACUACUCAGGCAAACGCCCAUGACGUCGUCAAAAAAGAACAAGGAAACCGAAGGCGUUGAAAAAUACACAAAGCUGAUCUGUUGGAAAACAUUGGAAUUUUUGUGAAAAUAUCAUAAGUAAAGCUGUGAUCAUGGAAUAAAUUUUGGUUACUAUUGGUGUUUGAUUAUAACGUAACGAUCGCCCUUCGGCCGUAUUUGCUAUACUCGCUUUUAUAGUAAUUCGUGUAUUUUAUUGCCAUGGAUGCAAUGGUAUUAAAAAUUCGUAUCAUGAAUUUUGUGAUCGUAUGUAUGGUUUUGUUGUGUUGUUUGAAUAUAUCAGAAGGUUUGUCUGUUAUUAAAUAACCUUUCUAUGGGAUUAUGAAGUCUGAUCAUUGCUUUAGUAGUUUAAUAUUUGUUGAUGUUUAAAAGUUUUAUAGUUGCGAUGUUAGUCAAAUAUGAAAAUAUUUAAAAGUAGUGUUGGGUAUACCCUUGUAUCCCCAGGCAAAUUUGUUCACAUGAAGCAAAAAACCAAUUUUGGCAAUGUGAUUGGUCAGCGAAAUUUAAAGUAAAAAUUUAAACCAAUUAUCACCAUUUAACAAAUCAUAUUGCCUGAAUUUGGUAUUUUCUCAAAAGUGUGAACAAAUUCACCAACUGGAAAACAGGCUUAGGGGCCACGUCCGUAUUCAUGUUGCCACAAAUAACGUCAAAUCGACGUUUUUUCGCCCACUCCAGAUAACAUCAAUCGAUAUUCAGUUGUUGUAUUUUGACUUUCGUAUUUAUGAUACAAAAUCUGUACUGUGAUAGUUACUUUGGACAUUAAUUGCCAAGAUUCUUUUUCUGUGUUGGUGUUAUGUACUCAGGUAAAUGUAUGAUGUUUGUGAUGUUACUCUGAGUGUAUAUCCACACCGGGCAAGCUUGAAAAAUAUGCCUGGCUGCCGUGGCCAGGCAUAUGUAUUUUUCAAGGUUGCCCGGUGUGGAUAUACACUCAGAGUAACAUCACAAACAUCAUUAAUUGUCAAAUUGCCACGAGAUAACGUCGAUAAGUUCACAUAAAAACCCACCCAUUCAUAACAUUGAUUCGACGUUAUUUGUGGCAAUAUGGAUGUGACCCCUAUAGUCUGUGAUGCACUGAUAUACUAAAAUGGAAAUAUUGGUACCGGUAAUUUUGUUGUUGAUAUUACCGAUAUAAUAAUAUACAUAAAAAUAUUACUUGACUGUGAUUGGUUGACUUCAGUGCAGUUAAUCCCAAACAGCAGUGCAAUUUUUUGUAAUCACAGUGCAAUUUUCUGUGAUCACAGUGCAAUUUUUUGUAAUCAUAGUGCAAUUUUCUGUAAUCACAGUGCAAAAAUCUGUAACAAACUAAUCUGAUUGGUGGAAAAACAUGUGAUGAUAAAAUCAACCAAUCAGUUUAAAGCAGUUUAGUUUAAAGAAGUAACGGUCAGAGAUUGCUUCAAAACAAAACAAACAUGGUGCCGCGCUAUACAUAGUCAUAGAGUAAAACUACAAUUGUCUUGAACAUUUUUAUGUAAAUUAUUAAUAAGUAAUAGCAUGGUUUCUCGUGAAAUUUGGAUAAACAUGCACUCGUGAGUUUUUCAAAGACCUCGAAUAGCACUUGUGCUAUUUUGAAGUCUUUGAAAACAUCACUUGUGCAUGUUAUAUCCAAAUUGCACUCAAAACCAUGGUAUCACCUAUACUUACAAACUAUUAUUAAUUAAAUAUUAAUAAUUGGUUAUAGUUGCAGUUCAAUAGUUGUUUUUAUUACAAAUAAACAGUCACUGCUGUAGUAAUAUACUCGUUUGUUGCAUGCAUUUGUUCACAGCAUUUCAUUUGAUAUUUUCAGUAUUUAGAAACCAAUGAAUUGAAUUAAAUUCAAAAGUAUUAAACUGUAGGGGUGCACCGGAUUUGGAAUUUUCAAAUCCGGCCGGAACCGGAUUUACCGGAUUUAGACAAAAAUUCCGCCGGAUUUGCCGGAUUUGAGAUAAACCGGUAAUGGGGACAAUUGGGGAUAAAUGAGUAUUCAAAAUGGCGGUUUAUGUUUUUUACUAUUUUUAGUUAGUGUCAGUUUAGAUUUUUGAUUGUGUUUAAACCUUUUUUAAAUAUCUUUUUGUUAAUAACUUAAUAUUUUAUAAUAAUAUAAGUGUUUUAUAAACUUUAAUGCUGCCAAAUUGAUGGUUUAUCCCAUUCUUGGUGAUUUUUUUAAGGUGAAAACAGAAAUUUAAAUCCGGCCGGAUUCUUUCCAAAUCCGGCCGGAUGCCGGAAAAUUCGUUAAAUCCGGCCGGAAUUCCGGCCGGAUUUGAAAUCCGGUGCACCCCUAUAUUAAAGUUGAACUGUCUUGAUGUCAUCUUUGAAUUUUGUGAAAUGACAUAGAAUAUCAGUAUUGGCAAAAUAUUGGUCCUUUAAUUAAUAUCGGUUAUCGGGAUAUUGGUGAAUUUCCAUAUUGGUGCAUCACUACAGGCUUAUUAAAACUUGGAUGGCCCUGCCUGGAAAAUUUAGAAAUUGCACACCCGGGAUUUAAAAAAUUUCUCUGACUAAUCGGAGAACAUUCAAUAAAUAAUCAAUAGGAAUUUGCUAAUAGUGCAAUAAAGAUUUUUAGACAAUAAUUACUUACAAAUCUGAUUUUAUUAGUUUAUUGUUCUAUUCCUUUGCCAUUGCUUAUAUAAAGUUACCGGCAGUAAAUUGGUAAAUGCUUUUGAAAGCCCUGCUAGAGGAAGCUUAAUAUACUCUUUCGUUUCCUUGUCAAAUCCAGAGCUCCAGAAUCAAAUUCUAAGCUUAUAACUUGUUCUUGUAGCUAAUAAUUGCAAAGAUAAUCCAUGUCCAGGUUACCAGUCACGAUGUAACUGCCCAGGUGGGAAUAGAGUGAAAUUUCAGUGUGUAAAUGGUCAAUGGAGACCAUUACCUUGUGGUAAGUAUGAUAUGGUGUAACAUGUUAAACUACAAUGUG
This is a non-coding RNA of Paramuricea clavata, 2925 nucleotides long. The record is from the annotation of a GenBank genome assembly. Lineage: Eukaryota; Metazoa; Cnidaria; Anthozoa; Malacalcyonacea; Plexauridae.